RNAcentral lists this non-coding RNA (87 nucleotides) under Caldalkalibacillus thermarum. RNAcentral describes it as "c-di-GMP sequence". It matches the Rfam family "c-di-GMP-I riboswitch aptamer". Rfam says of the family: GEMM was predicted in a large-scale screen for bacterial structured RNA regulatory elements. Genes associated with GEMM are involved in a diverse array of functions, including chemotaxis regulation, signal transduction, secretion and chitin. The record is from RNAcentral. RNAcentral also lists the same sequence under 1 other name. Lineage: Bacteria; Bacillati; Bacillota; Bacilli; Caryophanales; Bacillaceae.
AACCGAUAAAGGCAAAACUGUGGAAACGCAGUGACGCAAAGCUACAGGGGCUAAGGUCCGCCAGGGCUAUGCCAGCCAGCUACCGGU